UUGGAGGGCAAGUCUGGUGCCAGCAGCCGCGGUAAUUCCAGCUCCAAUAGCGUAUAUUAAAGUUGUUGCAGUUAAAAAGCUCGUAGUUGAAUUUCGGGGUCAGCAGGUUGGUCGUGCCUCUGGUACGCACUGGUUUCGCUGAUUCCUCCUUUCUGAAGAACUGUAAUGUCAUUAAUUUGGUGUUGCAGGGAAACAGGACUGUUACUUUGAAAAAAUUAGAGUGUUUAAAGCAAGCUAACGCUUGAAUACAUUAGCAUGGAAUAAUGAAAUAGGACGUUUGAUCCUAUUUUGUUGGUUUCUAGGAUUGACGUAAUGAUUAAUAGGGAUAGUUGGGGGCAUUAGUAUUCAAUUGUCAGAGGUGAAAUUCUUGGAUUUAUUGAAGACUAACUACUGCGAAAGCAUUUGCCAAGGAUGUUUUCAUUAAUCAAGAACGAAAGUUAGGGGAUCGAAGACGAUCAGAUACCGUCGUAGUCUUAACCAUAAACUAUGCCGACUAGGGAUCGGAUGAUGUUAAAUUUUUUAAUGACUCAUUCGGCGCCUUACGGGAAA
RNAcentral lists this ribosomal RNA (549 nucleotides) under uncultured Glomus. RNAcentral's name for it is "SSU rRNA". It matches the Rfam family "Eukaryotic small subunit ribosomal RNA", at positions 548 to 1097 of the family's 1831-position model. Lineage: Eukaryota; Fungi; Glomeromycota; Glomeromycetes; Glomerales; Glomeraceae. The record is from RNAcentral.